GUCCCUGUAGCGCAAUGGAUAGCGCGUUGGAUUUCUAAUCGGAAGGCAGUGGGCUCGAAUCCCAACAGGGAUG
Molecule: non-coding RNA, 73 nt
Organism: Trichonephila inaurata madagascariensis
Lineage: Eukaryota; Metazoa; Arthropoda; Arachnida; Araneae; Nephilidae
Source: the annotation of a GenBank genome assembly